RNAcentral lists this ribosomal RNA (492 nucleotides) under uncultured bacterium. RNAcentral describes it as "partial 16S ribosomal RNA". It matches the Rfam family "Bacterial small subunit ribosomal RNA", at positions 29 to 507 of the family's 1533-position model. The record is from RNAcentral.
AGUGAACGCUGGCGGUAGGCCUAACACAUGCAAGUCGAACGGCAGCACAGUAAGAGCUUGCUCUUACGGGUGGCGAGUGGCGGACGGGCGAGGAAUACAUCGGAAUCUACUUUUUCGUGGGGGAUAACGUAGGGAAACUUACGCUAAUACCGCAUACGACCUACGGGUGAAAGCAGGGGAUCUUCGGACCUUGCGCGAUUGAAUGAGCCGAUGUCGGAUUAGCUAGUUGGCGGGGUAAAGGCCCACCAAGGCGACGAUCCGUAGCUGGCCUGAGAGGAUGAUCAGCCACACUGGAACUGAGACACGGUCCAGACUCCUACGGGAGGCAGCAGUGGGGAAUAUUGGACAAUGGGCGCAAGCCUGAUCCAGCCAUACCGCGUGGGUGAAGAAGGCCUUCGGGUUGUAAAGCCCUUUUGUUGGGAAAGAAAAGCAGCAGGUUAAUACCCCGCUGUUCUGACGGUACCCAAAGAAUAAGCACCGGCUAACUUCGUG